Molecule: ribosomal RNA, 219 nt
Filed under: uncultured bacterium
Lineage: Bacteria
Description: partial 16S ribosomal RNA
Rfam family: Bacterial small subunit ribosomal RNA
Source: RNAcentral
GCAAGUCGAACGCUAUCUUUGAUAGAGUGGCGCACGGGUGAGUAACGCGUGGGAACCUACCUUUCUCUGCGGGACAACGGUUGGAAACGACCGCUAAUACCGCAUACGCCCUACGGGGGAAAGGUCAGCCGGAGAAAGAGGGGCCCGCGUUUGAUUAGCUUGUUGGUAGGGUAAUGGCCUACCAAGACUAUGAUCAAUAGCUGAUUUGAGAGGAUGAUC